RNAcentral lists this ribosomal RNA (253 nucleotides) under uncultured prokaryote. RNAcentral describes it as "partial 16S ribosomal RNA". It matches the Rfam family "Bacterial small subunit ribosomal RNA", at positions 524 to 776 of the family's 1533-position model. The record is from RNAcentral.
UACGGAGGAUCCAAGCGUUAUCCGGAUUUAUUGGGUUUAAAGGGUGCGUAGGCGGAUUUUUAAGUCAGUGGUGAAAGCCUACAGCUUAACUGUAGAACUGCCAUUGAUACUGCAGGUCUAGAGUAUAGAUGACGUUGGCGGAAUAUGACAUGUAGUGGUGAAAUACUUAGAUAUGUCAUAGAACACCGAUUGCGAAGGCAGCUAACGAAACUAUAACUGACGCUGAGGCACGAAAGUGCGGGGAUCAAACAGG